GACGAACGCUGGCGGCGUGCUUAACACAUGCAAGUCGAACGCUGAAGCUCAGCUUUUGUUGGGUGGAUGAGUGGCGAACGGGUGAGUAACACGUGAGUAACCUGCCCCCUUCUUUGGGAUAACGCCCGGAAACGGGUGCUAAUACUGGAUAUUCACUGGUCUUCGCAUGGGGGUUGGUGGAAAGGGUUUUUCUGGUGGGGGAUGGGCUCGCGGCCUAUCAGCUUGUUGGUGGGGUGAUGGCCUACCAAGGCUUUGACGGGUAGCCGGCCUGAGAGGGUGACCGGUCACAUUGGGACGGAGAUACGGCCCAGACUCCGACGGGGGGCAGCAGUGGGGAAUAUUGCAGAAUGGGCGCAAGCCUGAUGCAGCGACGCCGCGUGAGGGAUGGAGGCCUUCGGGUUGUGAACCUCUUUCGCUAAUGGUCAAGCCGCAACAAUGGUUGUGGUGAGGGUAGUGGGUAAAGAAGCGCCGGCUAACUACGUG
RNAcentral lists this ribosomal RNA (483 nucleotides) under uncultured bacterium. Its description in RNAcentral is "partial 16S ribosomal RNA". It matches the Rfam family "Bacterial small subunit ribosomal RNA", at positions 28 to 507 of the family's 1533-position model. The record is from RNAcentral.